AUUGAACGCUGGCGGCAGGCCUAACACAUGCAAGUCGAGCGGAUGAAGGGAGCUUGCUCCUGGAUUCAGCGGCGGACGGGUGAGUAAUGCCUAGGAAUCUGCCUGGUAGUGGGGGAUAACGUCCGGAAACGGGCGCUACUACUGCAUACGUCCUGAGGGUGAAAGUGGGGGAUCUUCGGACCUCACGCUCUCAGAUGAGCCUAGGUCGGAUUAGCUAGUUGGUGGGGUAAAGGCCUACCAAGGCGACGAUCCGUAACUGGUCUGAGAGGAUGAUCAGUCACACGGGAACUGAGACACGGUCCAGGCGCCUGCGGGAGGCAGCAGUGGGGAAUAGUGGACAGUGGGCGGAAGCCUGGUCCAGCCAGGCCGCGUGUGUGAAAAAGGUCUUCGGAGUGUAAAGCACGUUAAGUGGGGAGGAAGGGCAGUAAGUUAAGACCUUGCUUUUUUGACGGUACCGACAGAAUAAGCACCGGCUAACUACGUG
This 484-nucleotide ribosomal RNA is filed under the name uncultured bacterium. RNAcentral's name for it is "partial 16S ribosomal RNA". It matches the Rfam family "Bacterial small subunit ribosomal RNA", at positions 29 to 507 of the family's 1533-position model. The record is from RNAcentral.